GGGGGGGGGGGGGGGGGGGGGGGGGGGGGGGGGGGGGGGGGGGGGCGCGGGGGGGGCUUGCUCUUGCGGGUGGCGAGUGGCUGGCGGGUGAGGGCUGCGUCGGGAUCUACUUUUUCGUGGGGGAUUGCGUGGUGAAGCUUACGCUAAUGCCGCAUACGCCCUGCUGGUGAAGGCAUGAGAUCUUCGUAGCUUGCGCGAUGGAAUGAGCCGAUGUCUGAUUAGCUCGUUGUCGGUGUAAAGGCCCACCAAGGCGACGACCCGUAGCUGGUCUGAGAGGAUGAGCAGCCACACUGGAACUGAGACACGGUCCAGACUCCUAAGGGAGGCAGCAGUGGGGAAUAUUGGACAAAGGGCGCAAGCCUGAUCCAGCCAUACCGCGUGGGUGAAGAAGGCCUUCGGGUUGUAAAGCCCUUUUGUUGGGAAAGAAAAGCAGCAGGUUAAUACCCCGCUGUUCUGACGGUACACAAAGAAUAAGCACAGGAUAACUUCGUG
RNAcentral lists this ribosomal RNA (492 nucleotides) under uncultured bacterium. Its description in RNAcentral is "partial 16S ribosomal RNA". It matches the Rfam family "Bacterial small subunit ribosomal RNA", at positions 39 to 507 of the family's 1533-position model. The record is from RNAcentral.